Molecule: ribosomal RNA, 821 nt
Filed under: Herbaspirillum sp. SARCC-RB16k
Lineage: Bacteria; Pseudomonadati; Pseudomonadota; Betaproteobacteria; Burkholderiales; Oxalobacteraceae
Description: bacterial SSU rRNA
Rfam family: Bacterial small subunit ribosomal RNA
Source: RNAcentral
UUGCUCCUGAUGGCGAGUGGCGAACGGGUGAGUWWUWUAUCGGAACGUGCCCUAGAGUGGGGGAUAACUAGUCGAAAGAUUAGCUAAUACCGCAUACGAUCUAAGGAUGAAAGUGGGGGAUCGCAAGACCUCAUGCUCGUGGAGCGGCCGAUAUCUGAUUAGCUAGUUGGUGGGGURAARKCUYAMCAAGGMRACGAUCAGUAGCUGGUCUGAGAGGACGACCAGCCACACUGGAACUGAGACACGGUCCAGACUCCUACGGGAGGCAGCAGUGGGGAAUUUUGGACAAUGGGGGCAACCCUGAUCCAGCAAUGCCGCGUGAGUGAAGAAGGCCUUCGGGUUGUAAAGCUCUUUUGUCAGGGAAGAAACGGUGAGAGCUAAUAUCUCUUGCUAAUGACGGUACCUGAAGAAUAAGCACCGGCUAACUACGUGCCAGCAGCCGCGGUAAUACGUAGGGUGCAAGCGUUAAUCGGAAUUACUGGGCGUAAAGCGUGCGCAGGCGGUUGUGUAAGACAGAUGUGAAAUCCCCGGGCUCAACCUGGGAAUUGCAUUUGUGACUGCACGGCUAGAGUGUGUCAGAGGGGGGUAGAAUUCCACGUGUAGCAGUGAAAUGCGUAGAUAUGUGGAGGAAUACCGAUGGCGAAGGCAGCCCCCUGGGAUAACACUGACGCUCAUGCACGAAAGCGUGGGGAGCAAACAGGAUUAGAUACCCUGGUAGUCCACGCCCUAAACGAUGUCUACUAGUUGUCGGGUCUUAAUUGACUUGGUAACGCAGCUAACGCGUGAAGUAGACCGCCUGGGGAGUACGGUCGCAAGAUUAA